Aptenodytes forsteri (emperor penguin) is the source of this 6488-nucleotide RNA transcript. It is a transcript of the gene named RNA binding protein, fox-1 homolog 2, with no coding region annotated. The transcript has 14 exons. Lineage: Eukaryota; Metazoa; Chordata; Aves; Sphenisciformes; Spheniscidae. The record is from RefSeq and is a predicted model, not a curated record.
UGUGUCCCCCUCUUCCCGGCAGUCGCUCUGUUUGCUGCCUGGGAGUUGCAGGACACUCCUCAGUCGAGGCUUGCAGGGCCGUUUUCAGUAGGGGAUUUCUAAUUUUAGGAGCCUCUGCUGCCUAUGGUUGAGCGCUGCCUUGCUGGAUCCCAGAAGAGAGGGGCUGAGCCGAGCCGAGCCAGGCAGCUCCUUUUUAUUUUCAGCUGAGCUAGUGUCAACCUGAGUGGCCCCAGAGGCCCGAGCCAAACACUGCGCAGGGCUGCCAGAGUCCUUCCCACAAGGCUGAAAGACGGAGACUCGGGUUUGAAGCUUCCAGUCCUGUGUCCAUUUGGCCUUUAGCUGGAGGAUCUUUGGCUAUGUAUGGUGUGUAUUGUAUGGAUUACCAAUACCCAGUCGUCCAGGGUAACCAGGAGCCAGCAGCAACUCCUGAUGCAAUGGUGCAGCCAUUCACCACAAUCCCAUUUCCGCCACCCCCACAGAAUGGAAUUCCCACAGAGUAUGGGGUGCCACACACUCAGGACUAUGCAGGCCAGACCAGCGAGCACAAUCUGACGCUCUACGGAAGCACGCAGCCACAUGGAGAGCAGAGCACGAACACGGCCAGCACGCAGAACGGAUCUCUUGCACAGACAGAAGGAGGGGCACAGACAGAUGGACAGCAAUCACAGACACAGAGCAGUGAGAAUACCGAGAGCAAAUCCACUCCAAAACGACUUCAUGUGUCUAACAUUCCCUUCCGCUUUCGAGAUCCUGACCUUCGGCAGAUGUUUGGGCAAUUUGGCAAAAUCCUUGAUGUAGAGAUAAUCUUUAAUGAGCGUGGCUCCAAGGGAUUCGGGUUCGUAACUUUCGAGAAUAGUGCUGAUGCAGACAGGGCCAGGGAGAAAUUACACGGCACCGUGGUAGAGGGCCGUAAAAUCGAGGUUAACAACGCCACAGCGCGAGUGAUGACCAAUAAGAAGAUGGUCACACCUUACGCAAAUGGUUGGAAGUUGAGUCCUGUGGUUGGAGCGGUGUACGGCCCUGAGUUAUAUGCAGCGUCCAGCUUUCAAGCAGAUGUCUCGCUGGGCAAUGACGCCGCAGUGCCCCUGUCAGGAAGGGGGGGUAUUAACACUUACAUUCCUUUAAUCAUUCCAGGCUUCCCCUAUCCAACUGCAGCCACCACAGCAGCCGCAUUUCGGGGAGCCCAUCUGAGGGGCCGAGGAAGGACAGUGUAUGGGGCAGUCCGGGCGGUACCUCCCACAGCCAUCCCUGCCUACCCAGGUGUGGUUUACCAGGACGGAUUUUACGGUGCUGACCUCUAUAAUAGUCUUACAGGAACCAAUCAUUAGCGCUAAAAUACCUCAGGGUGGAUACGCAGCCUACAGAUAUGCACAGCCUGCUACUGCAACAGCAGCCACGGCCGCUGCAGCCGCUGCAGCAGCUUACAGCGAUGGUUAUGGCAGGGUGUACACAGCAGAUCCUUACCAUGCCCUUGCCCCUGCCGCUAGCUACGGAGUUGGCGCUGUGGCGAGUUUAUACCGAGGUGGCUACAGCCGAUUUGCCCCCUACUGAAGUGACGUGAGCCCCCUGCAAGUGGGACAGCCCCCCCAGUUCAUGAGGCCUGGCUAUUGCAAUAUUUACUAGUAGAGGAACUCUAUAGCAAGACGAGGAGGAAAAACAAAAAACAAAAGAGAAAAUACUUUUUUAUACCUCACUAUGUUCUUUGAAUAUGUAUUUUUUUUUUCCUUUAAAUUUCUGCCUUUAAUUCUUUUGUUCCAAAGAUUGUGCAUUUUUUUGUUUUUGUUUUUGGGGUUUUUUUUAACUGUGGUAAAAAUAAUGCAUUUCCGUGUCUGUAUGUUGGUGCAUAGCUUAUCCUACCAAUCACGGAAAAGGCGAUUAGCGAUAAGGAAAGCUGUUAGAAACCGAUAUCAUGCAGUUAAUCAGGAACACGCAGAGUUACUUCCCUGGUCUGGUGCUUGGUGCCUGUGAGACAGGAGGACGUGAGGGAGAAGUCUCCACCUGCCGUGUUUCUGGUCUGCAGAAGGAAGCACUCUUGCUGUGGCUGGGACCUUGAUGCUGGUGGGAAGUAGUCAUUUACAUUCGAAAAUGGGGGAAAUGCAGAGACUUUCCUCGUUUUUGUCACCAUCUGAUGCACACAGGUUUGGAACAGUUUCAGCAGUGUCAGGAUUUUAGAUUUGGCAAGAGAAGAUUUCCUCAACCUGCCCAAAGACUUUGGCUGUUAUCUGCUGUAUAGGGGACAAGACUUUGAAAAGAGUUUUUGAUGAGGAUGAUCUUUCCCCACCCCACACAACUUAUCCUAGCUGAUUGUUGUCCAUUGCUGGUGGCUGUAAUUACCUUAGUUUUCCUUCCUCCUUUUCAAGAUCUUUCUCCCUUGCUGUCCCUUUCCUCCCCUUCUUUCCUCGAGGAGUGGCAGAUGCAGUGCAGCAUCACACAGAGUACCUCUGUUGCGGACAGCAAGCGGUUAAACUUGCGGAGGUGAAGCGCAUGCAGCCUUGCAGAGGAAGAAAGCUAGCAGAAGAACCGUGCAUCAGUGCCAUGCUCAGGUGCUCCAAGGUCCAGCGUGCAAGGUCUCUCCUGCUCAUCCUGAGCUGCUGAGGCGCUUCUGCAAGUAAUCUGUUUCAAAUAACAUGAGUGAGGAAAAACAAGUCAUGUAUAAGCUGCUUGAGGCGAGGGGCAAGGAUGUGGAUUUGUGUGGGGGAAGAGGGUCUUCUAUAUCUAAACGUGAUCCUGAAGUAGUUUUGUUUCGGUCAGGAGCUUUAAGGGGAGGCAGAAGCAGUUUGUGCAAGCUCUGAAUUCAUAGGAACUUCCCACCAUAAGCUAUUUCAGGCCUUUACAUAGUUGUGUUGGAGCCCCUGGGUCUUUCUUGCCCAGCCUCUCAUAGAAAGUUGUGCACCUGAUCUGCUGAGUCCAUAUAGACACUACAUAUUAGAAGAUUUGGAAGCAGAGAGACUAUUUAGGGGAGGGCUCCAUGACUCCCAACACCAUCUCCCUUCUGCUCUCACAUACAGUGAUUUCACUGUGUUUCAAAGUCAGCAUUUUUAGAUGACUGCGUGAGCUGUGGUGGGGAGUUGCUGCUCUCCAGACCUCCCUGCUCAGCUGCUGGCUCCUAGAGUGCUCCCAGUAACCCCAGUGAUCAGAGGCAGGGUCUCUAACCACAUGUUAGAGAAAUGCAGAAGCGUGGUUUUAUUAGGCUGCCUCAACUCCCUCGAUUUGGUACUGGGGUGAGCUCACCGCCCCCAGAAGGGCUGCUUGGAGUGUGGGUUUGUUGGUGGAGCCUUUCCCACUCCUGUCGUACACCUGCUUCUCCAUCCACCACUGAUACCAGAAUAGGAAACCUCCUGCAUUUAAACACUAAACGAUGUCAACAAGCAGAGCUCCCAGGGAGGUGUCCUGGCCCAGCCACGCACAACCACGCAUUUUUUUCGCUCUUCCCCAGCGAUACACGUAGCCUCUUUGUGCGCAGCAGAGAGGAGGCACCUCAAAUGGGAAGAAUGGGGAAGCCAUUAGUUAAGCUAGAGACCGUGAAGCUAUUGAUUCUCUGGAGGAAUAGCUAGAUAAAGGGGACACCAAACUGCCAGCCUGUUGGCCACCUUUUUUUUUUUUCCUGGUUUUAUUGUUGGUUUUUAACUUUUUUUUUCCCAAGCCAAAGUUUGGUUUGUUGCUGUUAUGACAAUUUUUGUUGUUUGUAUAUAACUAUUUUAGUUAGCUUGAGAAUGGGGAGGGGGGAACAGGGUGGGGCUUUCACAAAAUCUAGGAAAUGAGGGGGACUUGAGGUGUUUGGGGGCUUUUACUGUCUGAGUUGGGGUAGGGGAGGGAGAACUUGUGGUAGAAAUAGUCAUAUUCAAGGGGAGCCAUUUCCACUGCAGGGCAUCCAGGGGACUUCCCGAGCUGAGAUGCAGCAAAAGCCUCUACUGGACUUGUUCUACCCACCUGUGGGGCGGAGAGGCUGAGUGAGGCCGUCCCUUCCCUUGCCUGCAGGCUGCGAGCGAGAGGAGCGCAGCUUGCAGAGCCCGGCAGGGGCAGUUGCUCGUCCCUCUGCCCCUUUCCUACGUUUCAGUUCAGCUGGUUCUGACUGCAGCUCCUGAAAAGCUGGGUUCUCCCUCCCCGAGUGCCCUCCCCUGCCCUGGCAGUGCUGCCUGCAAUCCCCCCCUGCCACUUGGCCUCUCUGGGAGUAGGGAGGCCAGCCCCAUUUCUGCCUCCGAGCAGAGUCUAUGCAUGGCAGCUUCAGCCCGCCCAAGUAUAUUAGGAGUGUGAGGGGCUUAGUGCAGAAGCGCCCAACCUUUGCAGGUCCAUGGUCCCCUGCUGUAUGAUCUCCGAGUAAUACCUGCUCUAGACCAUCCAGCCUGAUUCCUCCUGUAUCCAAGCCUGACCUGCUCCGGUCGCUCCCUGCCAGGCUCCUCUGGUGCAUUAACCAGCCGGCGUCUCCUCGACUCCGUAGUUGACACUGCAGGAUCCCUGCUGAGGCAGCUCACUGAUAGAGAGGCUUCCUGCUCUCAGCAGUGAGCUGCAGAGGGGACGCCGGGACGCUUGCUCAGCUGGGGGCCGGAGGUAGCUCGCUGGUUCCAGGUCUCUGGAGCACCAGGCCUCCCAAAAGCUUGCACGCCGGCUGGAAUUUUGCAGCAAGGUUUCUUGAGUGAGUGUUGUGCCGUGGCGGGAGAGCUCUUCAGCCUUUCUUCCCUCUUGGCAAACAACAGCUCUGGUUUCACUCAGAUGUGUUAUGAACUGGCUUGAGAUGCAUUCAGAGUAGCCAAGUUGUGGCUAUAUCCAUCUUCUGAAGAAGUGAGGACAAAGCCUAUAUCUCCCUAUGCAAAAUGAAUUACACUUAAUGAAUUAAACUGGGCCCUGGCUUAUUUGACUGAUGGCAGCCAGUGCUUGUCCCCGAGAUGGGUCUGCAGUCACAGGUCCUUCACAAAGCAGGGCUUGGCUUUCCGAGGGAAACCGCACAGGCAGCCUGGCAAAUAGCUUGCUGUUUGUCACCUUCCAGUCUGGUGGCAUGCGGGAUUCCUCUUGAUGCAGAGGAAAAGAUGUUUCUUUAAGUGUUGCUGUUUGUACUGUCUUGCAAUAGGUCUGGCCAGCACGUGAUAUUAUACUGAUAAAAUUUUGGAUUGAAGAGUUGAUUUAUUUAAUGUGCUGGUCUGUCUUUCCUUGUGGGUACAGUUGUGCUGGUACAAAGAUGACUUCUGCUGGUAUAGUAUAUUCUCUACUGGGAAUAAGUUAUAUUGAUGCCCAGCAUGUUGACAAACUGUUGUCACUGUCGCCGUGCUAGGGAAGCUGCACUGUUGUAGGUGGGUUAGCUUUUCUAAGAAAAGCCAUGAAUGGGACCUGGAGACAACUGGGAGCUCGGUAUGAGCCUGCUAUAGCCAGCUUUUCCCAGAUUAAGCGAUCCUGUGUCAUGAGUUCGGAUAGACAAAGCCAUGUUUUAAAAUAGCUGUGGCUUGGCUGUUUCAGUGCCCGAGAGAGAGCAGACUUGCCCAGCGAGAAAGAGCGCUAGCUCAGGAGUCGGAGACCUGUCUUUUGGGCAGGGCUCUGUCAGUGAUCCUCAAGGGUCAUCGUGGAGCAGUCGUGUCGCUACUCUAGACUUCACUUCCCCGUCCCUAAAGUGAAGUGAAAGUUUAUCCCCUGUUCUCGCCCAUUUUGAGAUCUGUGGAUGUGAAGUGCACAGCAAGAGCUGAGGAGGGUUAUCUGAAUAGCUGGCUCAAAUGCUAGUUGUGAAACGGUUAACGAAACCAGUUCCUUGCCCGAAAAGAGAUGCUGGCUGCUGGGGUUUCAGUUCCAGCACCCAGAGCUUCCGUAGCAGGGAAUGCAAAGCAGAGCCUCCUAGUUCCUACCCAUGUUUUUCCCCAACCCAGCCCUAUCUGUAUCUUCCCAUCCUGGCCCUGAAGAAGGAGGCAAGUGGAGAACAGGUUUGGGGAGCACUUAGGAAUUCAAUAAAGGGAAACCCAAACAACGGCUCUGGGGAGCGCUUUUGCUGAGUCUAGCUCCAAAGGGAAAGCACGUGGGCAGCCUGGCAGACGGCCUGCUGCCUGUGACCCUCCAGCCUGGCAGGGUCGGGGGAAUGCUGUCCUUGGUGCAGAGGGGUGAUUUUUAAAGUACGUUACCUGUUUGCACUGUUUUAAAAUAGGAGGGGGGAAAACAAAAACCCCAACCUAGUGAACAAGAUGAACAUCCAAUGUAAACUUCUUUGUGUUUUUAUUUUGUCAUGCUCUUGGAAAAUGUCAAACAUUUUGUAGUAUACACCAGUGAGACUUGAUUCUUUGUUGCAUAAAACACUAUUUUUGGUGAUGUUAAUGUCUGAAAAGCCCCUUCCCUCCACCCCCACCUUACCGAUUGCCCUCUCUGCCCUCCAACCCCGGUAAACUUCUCUUCUACAAUGGAAACUCCAGUCAACAAGGCAAGCAGGAGCCUGAUAGCCAGAGCGUGAAAUGGGGCCCUUUUCAAGUAGGCUCUGGGGUUUUUCCCUGGUACGCUUUUGCUCUAGCCAGGAGUUG